AUCUAAGUGAGGUGAGAAUCCUCAUCGUCGAAAGGGCAAGGGUUCCUUGGCGCUAGUCGUUAGCCAAGGGUUAGUCGGUCCUAAGUCUGAAUCCUAACCGAUUUAGACGAAAGGGAAACUGGUUAAUAUUCCAGUACCUUGCAAACACGUUAUCAUCUAUAUGAUUUGCUUCUAGAUAGGGAGUGUAGAACCAUCGUUUUAUCUAACUGUUCAAGAUUCAGGGAGUGUCGUAAUGACGAGAACUGAUUUGAGGCAGGAAUGGCUUUGCGUUAGCAGAGUUUUCCCAAAUCCAGGAGACCUUGAAAGCUCGUAUAGAAAGUGUUUGUCAAGAUCGUACCGAGAACCGACACAGGUGCGCUGGCUUAGAAAGCUAAGGUGCUACGGGUAUACCGUAUGGCGAGGGAAUUCGGCAAAUUAGUCCUGUAGCUUCGGUAUAAGGGAUGCCUGCUGUUUUAAUGAGGAAUUGGGACAGCAGGUUGCAAUGACUAGGGGGUUCCGACUGUUUAAUAAAAACACAGGUGACUGCUAGUCCGAAAGGAUUUGUAUAGUCACUGAAUCCUGGCCGGUGCAGGUACCUAAAACUUGGGUUCAACCGAGCUAAGGGCCUGUUAACGCCGGGAGUAACUCUGACUCUCUUAAGGUAGCCAAAUGCCUUGUCGGGUAAGUUCCGACGCGCAUGAAUGGAACAACGAGAGCCCCACUGUCCCCGCCUACAACCCGGUGAAGCCACAUAAGGUGGACGAACAGUCCAUCAUCUUCCAUCGGGGAGAGAAGACCCCGUGGAGUUUUACUGCAGCUUGUGCUUGUAGUAUAGUAAGAAUUACAUAGUGUAUCUGGUAGCCAUGCCUGAAUUUCUUUGGGAAUUCAGUGAAGCGACGAUGUAACACCAGAUUAUUCUUGCAGUACUUCUUAUCUGAUGCAAAUCAGAAACAGGUGCUGGUAGGCAGUUCGGCUGGGGCGGCACCCCUUUGAAAAGAUAUCAAAGGGGCCCAAAGUUUAGUUCAAACGGGUCAGAAAUCCGUUGAAGAGGGCAAAGCCAAAAACUAGACUGACAGGAUUUCCAAACGCACGGAAUUCUGAGACGAAAGUCUGGCUUAGCGAUCCUUCGUGUGCCCACUAUUGGGGCCCGGAGGUGACAGAAAAAUUACCCCAGGGAUAACAGGCUCGUCGCGGGCGAGAGCUCCUAUCGACCCCGCGGUUUGGUACCUCGAUGUCGGCUUUUCCUAUCCUGGCUCUGCAGCAGGGGCCAAGGGUGAGGCUGCUCGCCUAUUAAAAGGAAACAUGAGCUGGGUUUAGACCGUCGUGAGACAGGUCGGUCUCUGCCCGUUCUCUUAUACACUUCUGAU
This 1346-nucleotide ribosomal RNA is filed under the name marine metagenome. Its description in RNAcentral is "bacterial LSU rRNA". It matches the Rfam family "Archaeal large subunit ribosomal RNA", at positions 1398 to 2987 of the family's 2987-position model. The record is from RNAcentral.